UGGCCGGGCUGAUAAGGGCAGAUGCUGUCCAUAGCCAGGGGGCGGGGGGAGAAGCGGAGGACGGGGUUAUUUACGAUUCCCAAGAAGGGCGGCUGGAAAGUUACACCUGUUUGUACGUGAGAAAGGAAAAUACGAGUGUGCCGCUCUCCGGCCGCCGGCGGCAAACGUGACCGAGCAGCACUUCCGAUGGUGUCGGUCCGUCGAACAGAGGCGGCCGCCGGCAGGUCUGGGGGCUGGGAGGGCUCGGCGCGUCCCCCCUGCCAUCGGGAGGGAGUCGCAUCUGACUCCCCGCUCGGCACCACCUGCGCGAGGCACCAAGAGCUGGCGCAUCAGCCCUACGGGUAUACGAAAACGGUGCAGGCGUCCACCGCCAGCUCUUGAUGCUUUGUCACUGCAGGCCUUCACCGCGGUACAGCCAAGUUCUCCAUCACGACUGCAUUUGAGUGACAUAACCUGAUGUUUUACUGCUGUGUUAUAACAAUGAAAACCAAACAAUCUCUGUCUGAUUUCAAUGGAUGCAAACCCAGUUUCGUGAAACUAUCAACUUUAUCAAUUUAUUUAGAUUCUUCAGCAGCGGUCAGUUACCUUCCAAGUCACCCUGUUUUUGGAAAACAGACUACAGAUGUCAGUACUGCAUAUUUCAGCCUUAAAUUACUGAAACUGGAGGCAUGCAUGUUCAGUGGUGGCAAGUAGCUUAUCAUUACAAGGAAUAGUUCAGAGGGGAAUUGUUCUGCACAACAUAUUAAAAUGAUUUGGAAAUUAUAUUUUUCCUCUUCCUUGGCAGCCCACGAAGUAGCAGACCCACUAAUCACUGCAAUCUCUACUGUUCCUUUCGUAAAAAGUAGUGGAAGCAACUUUUUAUAAUUAUAAACACCUUGUGCAACAAACAGGAAAAAAUUUUUGGCAGCAAGCUUGAAUAAAUACGUCAUAUUUAUAAAGAGAACAAGUUAAAAAUUGUAACAAAUAUUCUUUAAAGAAAGUAACAAGGAUGU
Molecule: long non-coding RNA, 992 nt
Organism: Pseudopipra pipra
Lineage: Eukaryota; Metazoa; Chordata; Aves; Passeriformes; Pipridae
Exons: 3
Source: RefSeq, a predicted model, not a curated record